Non-coding RNA from Onthophagus taurus, 340 nucleotides. The record is from RefSeq and is a predicted model, not a curated record. NCBI's taxonomy places the organism in Eukaryota, Metazoa, Arthropoda, Insecta, Coleoptera, Scarabaeidae.
AACUGCAUGCAGAUAAUUGCAGAAGACUAGAUACUGCUUGAAAAUGACCACCUAUUGCUUGCACAAACCAAAUACUGGUGGCAGAGGACUAGAUAUUAAGAAAGGAAGACUAGAUACUAUUAAUAAUAUCUUCUGAUAUAUUAUGGUCACUCUAAUUUGAACUGCAUCAUAUUCCUUGGCAAUUCUAAAAUAGGAAUAAAUUUCAAGUUGAGCAGAAUUUAUGAUCACUCUAGUUUGAACUGUAACAUGGUCCUCAUGACCUCUAAAAUAGCAACAUUCAGAAACCAGAAAUAAGUUCGAAGUGUUCAAAAUAUAGAAUAACUUGGUGCGGAAUAACAGC